UGAACUGGGNGACUAGAGUGUGUCAGAGGGAGGUAGAAUUNCACGUGUAGCAGUGAAAUGCGUAGAGAUGUGGAGGAAUACCGAUGGCGAAGGCAGCCUCCUGGGAUAACACUGACGUUCAUGCCCGAAAGCGUGGGUAGCAAACAGGAUUAGAUACCCUGGUAGUCCACGCCCUAAACGAUGUCGAUUAGCUGUUGGGCAGCAUGACUGCUUAGUAGCGAAGCUAACGCGUGAAAUCGACCGCCUGGGGAGUACGGUCGCAAGAUUAAAACUCAAAGGAAUUGACGGGGACCCGCACAAGCGGUGGAUGAUGUGGAUUAAUUCGAUGCAACGCGAAGAACCUUACCUGGUCUUGACAUGUACGGAACCCUCCAGAGACGGAGGAGUGCCUUCGGGAGCCGUAACACAGGUGCUGCAUGGCUGUCGUCAGCUCGUGUCGUGAGAUGUUGGGUUAAGUCCCGCAACGAGCGCAACCCUUGUCAUUAGUUGCCAUCAUUAAGUUGGGCACUCUAAUGAGACUGCCGGUGACAAGCCGGAGGAAGGUGGGGAUGACGUCAAGUCCUCAUGGCCCUUAUGACCAGGGCUUCACACGUCAUACAAUGGUCGGUACAGAGGGUAGCCAAGCCGCGAGGCAGAGCCAAUCUCACAAAACCGAUCGUAGUCCGGAUUGCACUCUGCAACUCGAGUGCAUGAAGUCGGAAUCGCUAGUAAUCGCAGGUCAGCAUACUGCGGUGAAUACGUUCCCGGGUCUUGUACACANCGCCCGUCACACCAUGGGAGUGGGGGAUACCAG
RNAcentral lists this ribosomal RNA (793 nucleotides) under uncultured bacterium. RNAcentral's name for it is "bacterial SSU rRNA". It matches the Rfam family "Bacterial small subunit ribosomal RNA", at positions 629 to 1423 of the family's 1533-position model. The record is from RNAcentral.